Molecule: non-coding RNA, 29 nt
Filed under: Homo sapiens (human)
Lineage: Eukaryota; Metazoa; Chordata; Mammalia; Primates; Hominidae
Source: RNAcentral
UUCAGACAGCAGGGCCACUCAGCCUGCCU